AGUGAACGCUGGCGGUAGGCCUAACACAUGCAAGUCGAACGGCAGCACAGUAAGAGCUUGCUCUUACGGGUGGCGAGUGGCGGACGGGUGAGGAAUACAUCGGAAUCUACUUUUUCGUGGGGGAUAACGUAGGGAAACUUACGCUAAUACCGCAUACGACCUACGGGUGAAAGCAGGGGAUCUUCGGACCUUGCGCGAUUGAAUGAGCCGAUGUCGGAUUAGCUAGUUGGCGGGGUAAAGGCCCACCAAGGCGACGAUCCGUAGCUGGUCUGAGAGGAUGAUCAGCCACACUGGAACGGAGACACGGUCCAGACUCCUACGGGAGGCAGCAGUGGGGAAUAUUGGACAAUGGGCGCAAGCCUGAUCCAGCCAUAGCGCGUGGGUGAAGAAGGCCUUCGGGUUGUAAAGCCCUUUUGUUGGGAAAGAAAAGCAGCAGGUUAAUACCCCGCUGUUCUGACGGUACCCAAAGAAUAAGCACCGGCGAACUUCGU
Molecule: ribosomal RNA, 491 nt
Filed under: uncultured bacterium
Lineage: Bacteria
Description: partial 16S ribosomal RNA
Rfam family: Bacterial small subunit ribosomal RNA
Source: RNAcentral